UGGCCACAGGCAAGAAGCCAGGAGCCUGUUUACACAAAUGCUCCCUGCUCAGGGAAGGCUGCCCAAGUCACUCCUUCCUGCUGUCCCCAGACCCGGGCUACUAAGGUCUAGGGGUCCGGAAGGCAGGGUUAGUCCCAGGCAACCACAGUGACGCUCCAGGGGGCUCUGCUGAAGGACAAGGACCUCCUCCUCCUGCAUCUCAGCCUCCCCAGCAGCCACAGCCAAGAGCCCUGCCAAGCUGAUGGGACCCACUCCAUCAACAAGCAGGUGACAGCUUCUUCAGGAGAGAGGUCUGCCCUGGGUGCAAACCAACCUUCCAGAGGGAACAUCCUUCCCCUAGAAACUCCGAGGCCAAGAUUAGCCAUGAGGAUAAAACCCAGAGAUCAGACACAGAGACCCGGGGUCAGGCCUUUGGCCACGUGGCCUGGCAGCCUCACCUUGCGGAGUCACAGAGAGGCAGAGCCCCAAGUGAGCCUGGGGAGCCCUGCACCAGCCUGGGUUCCGGCCCUUCCCUCCCCCCAUUGCUUCUCAUCACCUCUCCCCACUACUCUCCCCUCUCUGGCCCAGAGGGUCCCUGGGAGUCUGGGAAAGCGCCCUGGAUUGUCUGGCUCCUCCCAGGGCUGGGACGCCCAUUGCCAAGAGAGCACUCAGAAGCCGCCUGUUGGCUUUUAGGACUUUUAUUGCCCAAGGUCCCGAGGUCUGGGUGGGACCGCAAGGGGCUGCCCCUGUCCCCAGAGCUGUGCCUGGCCAUCCUGGUGGGAGGGCUCGGCUAGAAGAAGUUGACCACCCUGCGGAGCGACUGCACCCGCGCGCUGUGGGCCUCCCAGUCGGAGAAGCUGCGGAAGUCGCCCCUCUCCACCACGUACAUGCGGCCGCGGUAGUUGGGCUCCUCGUACAGGACCCACCUGGAGGCCAGGGGAGUGGGAAUCAGGGGCUGCCGGGAAGCCCCCCUGGACUCCAGACAGAAGAGCUUGCACAGCCUGGCCACCCAGCAACCCCUCCCGGCCGAGCGGCCCUUUCACUCUGGGCUACACGAAGGCACCCACGGUGCCCACCUUGGCUUUUAUUUCCUUCCUCAGUGCCGUGUGGGGUCCGUGCAGGGGUGUGACACCUGUGGGGACAGGCCUAGUAACGUCCACAUUUUAAAACUGACCAGUCCUGGCCGGGUGUGGUGGCUCAUGCCUGUAAUCCCAGAACUUUGGGAGGCCGAGGCAGGCAGAUUUCUUGUGGUCAGGAGUUCGAGAGCAGCCUGGCCAAUGUGGUGAAACCCCGUGUCUACUAAAAAUACAAAAAUUAGCUGGGCGUGGUGGUGCAUGCCUGUAAUCCCAGCUACUCAGGAGACUGAGGCAAGAGAAUUGCUUGAACCAGGGAGGCGGAGGUUGCAGUGAGCCGAGAUCGCGCCACUGCAUUUCAACCGUCCUUGGCAAGGAUGCACUCCCGCCAUCACUGCACACCCACGCACUCCUGUUCCCUGAUAAGGACCACCUUGCACAGACAGUGCCCCCAGCACCUGAUGGGGGGCCUGGCACAGAGGGCACCAUUCAUUCAGUGAAUGCCAGUGGGUUCCCACAUGUGUGCCCAACACCGUGUCAGGUACCAGAGGUGCCAUGGUCACAUGACAUGGUUCCUGCCCCCUCCUGCCCUCAUGGGGCCUCCCCUGCAGAGGAAAUGGGCUGUGGGGGUACAGUUGCACAGAGGAGCCUGCAGGGCACAGAGGAGGGUCAGGGAGUCCCAAGUGGGGCCCCUUCCUCUCCUCCUCCCCUUCUGCACACCUCCGGGGCAGCCACCAACAAUCCAGAGAGCAGAAACAGUCAGGACAAGUCUUUACGGAGCCUGGAGGACCUGGGGCUGGUGGGGGCAGGAGAGAACACAGCCCUUCGUCACCCAGGAAGCUGUGGGCCCGGCCCAGAAAAGCAGGAAGGUGCGGUGGGGAGGGAAUGGGGGACCAGGAGGAAGGGACUGGAGGUCCAGGGGAGUGGCCUCUGCCUGGGAAGGGGCAUGUGAUACAAGGAAGACGCCUCAGGACAGCUCGGAGCAGGGGCUGGCCCGACCCUGUCCUUCCCUCACCAUCUCUGAGACGAGCGAGGCUUGUCACACUUGGUGCCUGGCACAGUCUGCUGCCUCGAGGGUUGGCGCCAGGAAGGAACAGAGAGAGGCAGAGGGUGUGAGCCAGCCUGGAGCACCUGCUGGGGGACUCAGGGCAGGCCUGGUCCAGCCUGGACCCCACCCUCAUGGCCCCCCGCGUCCAUGCUCCUUCACACCUGGAGCUUUCUGACCCCACACCUAUGCCAUAGCUGGGGCCUCAGAGGCACCUCAGGGAGUCAGCUGGUCCUUUCCUACCCUGUGGUGGGCAAGAAAUACCCUAAGCCAUGUCCUGGGCCACAUGAGGGUGCUCACAUGGACACCCCCAAAAGGAGGGGGCAGGGAACUGCCCAUCCUCCUGUCCCCUGUCCUGGCUGUGGCUACUGGGAGGAGGCAGAAAGGGGAAGGGGCAGGGGCCUGUCCUGCCCACAUGAGCACCGUGCCCUUCCCCAGGUGGGGGUGGUUGGGGGCAGAAUGCCAGCACAUUUUCCUCCGAAAGCCCACCAGGACAUGGAUCUGAGGGGACGGGUCAUGCCUGGGCUGAUGUGGGACCCAGAGGGAAGGGGUCUUGGCAGUGGGAGGUGGUGAAGGGGCCCUGCCUCGCCCACUCUCCAGACCCCAGGAAAGGCCUCCUAGCAGUGUCCCCUCCGGAUCCAGGGGACCCGGGGGCGUUACCUCCUUGACAAGGGCUUACAUUUGUGUAAGAGUUAGAGUCUUAGGCGGCAAAGGCUGAGCACCUGGGCCCCCACCUGGGGGACUGACGGCUGGCUCCUUGCAGGGACGGUGGGGAUUGAAGGAGAUGGACUGUGUGCUCCUCAGUCAGAGAAAUGUUCAUCUCCACCUUCUCCACCUUCCUUCUCAACAAGCCCCUGAGUGCCUGAGUGCUGGGGUGGGCGGGGGGAUUGUGUCUCUGGCCUCAGGACAUCCUCCAUGCAAAGGUGUGACUUGGGCCUUACAAGACACAAUUUAGCCAGCAAGUUUUCCAGGGCAAAUUCUUGUUUUGGAAUGCCACCCCUGGGCUCCAGGUGCCACCAAUUUAGAGCAACAUGCAAUUUUGUAAAAUGGAAUCCUGGAGCUAGCUAGAGUGACAGAAACAGCAGAUUUCCGCCACUAUCAGGCCACCAGGGAAAGGUGGGAUGUACACAGUCCCUCCUAUCCCUGGGAACUGGUUCCAGGACUUCCCUUGGAUGUCAAAAUCCAAGGAUGCUCAAGUUCCAGAUAUAAAAUGGCAUUGUAUUUGCAUAUAACCCAUGCGUAUCCUCCCAUAUAUAGUAAGUCCUCGCUUAACCCCAUCAGUAGGUAUUUGGGAACCGUGGCUUUCAGCACGCGAUAUAUAACAAAGCCAUUUCUCCCCUCAUCAAUCUUAUAAUGAACCCACAUUGAACAAGACAACAUAUUCGAGGACCUGCCAUACAUCAUUUCAUUUAAAGUCACAGUCUCCAAGAACCUAUCCCCAAUGUUAAGUGAGGACUUACUGGACUUGAAAUCAUCUCCAGAUUACUUAUGAUACCGAAUCCAACGUAAAUGCUAUGUAAAUAGCUGUACGGUAUAUUUCAGGGAAUAAUGUACAUAUUCAGCAUAGACACAAUUGUGGGGGGAUAGUUUCACUGUGCAGUCGGAGCCCACGGACAUGGGGUGCCACCUGUGUCCAGCUCUGCCUUGGCUCAGUCUCUGUCUCCCUGCAGUCCCUCUGCCCCCUGCAUCCUCUCCAGAGCUCCCUGGCCUUGAACCUCUGGAGUAUAGAAGGCAAAUUGUUCUUCAAUUGCUUUGAUAGGAGCCAGAACCAUGCACAGCCAGCUGGAACCUGUGUGAGGGGCUCUUGGCCUGAGGGGAGGGAACUGAGGCCUGGGAAAGCGGCCAGCUGUGGAACAGGGACAGACACAGGCUUGGCUGUAGUCUCAGCUGUGCCACUCCCAUGGGACGGCUGGGCCGUCAGCCUUCUGAGUCUCAGCUUGCCCUUUGUAGAACGGGGGCAAUAAUAUCUACCUGACGCAGAGGUGUGGGCUGGACAAUGAAAACAGAUGGCCAACUUGAAGGUGCUCAGAGGGUAGUUGCAAAAGGGGAGUAUGCGGGAGGGCAGGAGGGGGCACGAAGGCUGCCCUUGGUUGACCAGGAGGAAACCCAAGUGUGGGGCAGACAAACCCGUCUGGGCCUGGGCACAAUCCCCCUGGCUACUCUCUGUCCAGAAGUGAGCCACCCUGAAGUCCGUCUUCCCCCAGAGGCCAGGGUGCUGGGGGUUUGCAGAGAGGCCCGGUUCAGGGGUCAGCUUUGCUGGGUAGGCGCUGGGCAGGGUGGGCUGGUCCACCCUUCUCCGAGCAGGUGAGCCCGCUGUGGCUUUCCAGCCCAUAAGGCCCUGGGGGAUCCUUUGGUAAGCAGGUGUCCCCCGGCUCAAGCAAACCAAAGGCGGUCUCCUGCAUCAGAUCAAUCGCAGAGAACUGUGCAGCUUUCAAGGUCCUCUCCUACCUCUGUUCCUGGACCGAUGCCCUAUAGGGAAGGUCUCAGGAUGCCUCUGGGGCCCAGGGUCCCUCUCUGAGGCCCUUCUGGGCCAUAGGGGAAGCUCCCUGCUGCUUGACUGGGGCAGGUGAGGCAGCUGAGGAAAAGAGAGGGCCUGUGGGGCCAGGGACACGCUGCCCCCUGCUGCAGGUCUCAUUCCCACCCCACCCACCAGCCCUGCAUGGCGGGCAGCCUCGCACGCCUGGUGCUGAAGGGCCUAGCUGGGCCUCGGGGUGCGGCCACGUGGCUGGCCUGUACUCACGCUCCGUCCCCGUACACCUUGAUGGCGUUGAUGCAGUUCUUGGCCCAGCCCCCACUCUGCAGGAAGGGGCAGUCCUCCAGGAACUCCAGGCACUGGCCCGUGAAGUUGCAACCCUCGAAGAUUUCCAGGCGGAAAUGUUCCCCGUGCUCCAAGACCAAGCGAAAAAGAAGGAAAGAAGGAGCCUGCUGUGAAUUCCCCUCUCCCAGAAACAGAAGCCCCGGGCAGGAAGGAAUUAGGAGGCACCCAGGGCACUGGGCACCCCCAUCCCACAUACUUCAACCCCGCACUUCUGUUUGUUCUUCCACAUGAGAUGUGGUUGGAAGAAAGGGUUCUAUUACUCUAAAACUGUUUCAAGCCACUGAGCUGGUCUAAGCACCUCUUUCUACAACUAGAAAAUCUGAGGUCCAAAGACAGCCAAACUGACCAGAGGCCAGCGCUCAGGCUCAGGCUCAGACCAGGGCUGGGGUCUCGGGGCUCCCUCUGGGUGCUCAGCCUGGGGAACUUCUGCCCUGGUCACACCAACACACUCCCGUUUCUGACUUCACUCCAGGGCCGCAGCCCACAGGCAAGCCUUCAAAUGAUAACGUUUUAAAACUGUAAUAGAACCUUUUAGUAAAACAUAAAGCCAAAAAUCUAAAACAAA
Macaca mulatta (Rhesus monkey) is the source of this 5480-nucleotide long non-coding RNA. RefSeq lists it as uncharacterized. The record is from RefSeq and is a predicted model, not a curated record. NCBI's taxonomy places the organism in Eukaryota, Metazoa, Chordata, Mammalia, Primates, Cercopithecidae.